UCCUGCAAAGUAUAGUAGAUAAAUAAGUAGUGAAUAAUUCCUUUGCUCCCCAUGUUUUAGGCAGAGCAAGGAAGUAGUGCACACUCUCUUGGUGGGACUAACCACUGGCUGGGGUAGAAGGGGGAAAGUGUGAAAAGGUGACUCCCUGGCCUUGACCGUGAGCAACACCAUCCACCUGGCAGGCUCAUUUACUUUGAAGUUGCUGUGAUUUUCUAGGCUUUAUGCCUUAGCUCCUGCUAUUAU
This 243-nucleotide long non-coding RNA is filed under the name Pan troglodytes (chimpanzee). Its description in RNAcentral is "long non-coding RNA NONPTRT013784". Lineage: Eukaryota; Metazoa; Chordata; Mammalia; Primates; Hominidae. The record is from RNAcentral.